RNAcentral lists this ribosomal RNA (325 nucleotides) under Staphylococcus haemolyticus. RNAcentral describes it as "partial 23S ribosomal RNA". It matches the Rfam family "Bacterial large subunit ribosomal RNA", at positions 1726 to 2050 of the family's 2925-position model. The record is from RNAcentral. Lineage: Bacteria; Bacillati; Bacillota; Bacilli; Caryophanales; Staphylococcaceae.
CCCCGUAACUUCGGGAGAAGGGGUGCUCUUUAGGGUGCAAGCCCAGAAGAGCCGCAGUGAAUAGGCCCAAGCGACUGUUUAUCAAAAACACAGGUCUCUGCUAAACCGUAAGGUGAUGUAUAGGGGCUGACGCCUGCCCGGUGCUGGAAGGUUAAGAGGAGUAGUUAGCUUCUGCGAAGCUACGAAUCGAAGCCCCAGUAAACGGCGGCCGUAACUAUAACGGUCCUAAGGUAGCGAAAUUCCUUGUCGGGUAAGUUCCGACCCGCACGAAAGGCGUAACGAUUUGGGCACUGUCUCAACGAGAGACUCGGUGAAAUCAUAGUAC